RNAcentral lists this unclassified non-coding RNA (1398 nucleotides) under Hevea brasiliensis (rubber tree). Lineage: Eukaryota; Viridiplantae; Streptophyta; Magnoliopsida; Malpighiales; Euphorbiaceae. The record is from RNAcentral.
GAAACUAAUUAAAGUGACUUAAUAAAUCAGUAACUUUGGUUUAAACAUAGAGUUGUGCGUGUGAAUUAUACUGAAGAAAAAGGCCAAGAUAGACAUUGCAUCAAACCUAGUUCUUGACAUUUGACAUUGAAAACUCCAUUGCAAUCAACACUUUACAAAAGAAUGUCGCCCCAUCCAUCCUUCUAGCAAGAUUAGUUUAGGAAGUACGAUGGAAGAGCAGUUAAUGUAUUAAGAUGCGUGCGAACAUUGUACAUUCAGUCUACCACAAUGGAGUUUCACUUCGAGUUAAAUCUUGAAAACACCAGUAUCAUGCAUCAUAAGCGUUGCUGAAGCAUUUCCAUCAACGGAUUAUUCUAAAAUUGCUAAAAGGUUAUAGCACAAUGCAAAAUAUUGCACAGUCUAGGGCUACAUAACUCAAAAAUGCACGAGGGCUGCUUUUAAUUAACAUUGUUGCCAACUUACUUGCACGAAUCCUUUUUAAAGGGCAGGGGAGCAGUGAAAGACAAAAAGAACCAUAAGGAUCAAGACCUGGAAGUACUAUGCUAUAUUUUCUCGUACUGCUCCUCUGAUGCUCCAUUUACUGCAUAUUUAAGCACUCAUUAAGCCUAAAUAAUGUUUCACUCAGGAGCCAAUGCUAGAAAGCAAUUCGCUGCUCUCAAGAUUAUCUUCUUUAUUUGCUUCUGAAGUUGGAGUAGAACGUGCUCUUUCUGCAGCCAAAUUCAAUCUCAAAGGCCGCCCUUCCACUUCCACUCCAUUCAUGGCAUUUAGAGCAGCUUCUGCAUUUUCAGCAGACUCAAAAGAGACAAAUCCAAAACCUCGAGAUCUUCCUGUGUCCCUCUCAUAGAUGACUUUGGCACUUAAUAAGCCUGGUUGGUUGGCAAAAGCAUCUCUAAGACCUUGAGAUGUGAGGCCCCAACCAAGGUUUCCUGCAUAGAUCUUGUGUGGAGUAUCUAUAAAGCCCUUGUAGGCGCUCCGAAUCCUUGGUGCCAUUACUUCCCUCUCACCUCCCUUUGGCACUUCUGGGAAGUUCACCCUCACAGUUCUGCCUCCAAUUUGCUGUUGAUCAUCAACAUCAGUACAAUAUUGCCAUUUUCAUCUUAGCAUAUAGUGCUCAAUUAACGGCAUUCAAAAUAUAACUAUAGUUUUGGUUUCUACUAAAAAUUGGAGUCCAUGCACUUGCACACACAUUCAAGCCUCUAGCUGGAUUAAGGAUCUACGAAGCUGAGUUAUGCUCAACUGCCCACAUCAGGAGAACACUUCCACAAAGUAACUUUAUGGCAAUGAUACAAAAGCAUGAAAAAUUACAGUUCAGAUAUUUCUCACCAAAUAGAGCAGUAAUAUUAUUAUUAUUACUAGCUAGUGAAAAAUCUAGUGAGCAAUAUAUAUAUAUAUAUAUAU